AUUGAACGCUGGCGGCAUGCUUUACACAUGCAAGUCGAACGGUAACAGGUCUUCGGAUGCUGACGAGUGGCGAACGGGUGAGUAAUACAUCGGAACGUGCCUAGUAGUGGGGGAUAACUACUCGAAAGAGUAGCUAAUACCGCAUGAGAUCUACGGAUGAAAGCAGGGGACCUUCGGGCCUUGUGCUACUAGAGCGGCUGAUGGCAGAUUAGGUAGUUGGGGGGGUAAAGGCUUACCAAGCCUGCGAUCUGUAGCUGGUCUGAGAGGGCGACCAGCCACACUGGGACUGAGACACGGCCCAGACUCCUACGGGAGGCAGCAGUGGGGAAUUUUGGACAAUGGGCGAAGGCCUGAUCCAGCAAUGCCGCGUGCAGGAUGAAGGCCCUCGGGUUGUAAACUGCUUUUGUACGGAACGAAAAGCCUGGGGCUAAUAUCCCCGGGUCAUGACGGUACCGUAAGAAUAAGCACCGGCUAACUACGUGCCAGCCGCCGCCGUAA
This 498-nucleotide ribosomal RNA is filed under the name uncultured bacterium. Its description in RNAcentral is "partial 16S ribosomal RNA". It matches the Rfam family "Bacterial small subunit ribosomal RNA", at positions 30 to 523 of the family's 1533-position model. The record is from RNAcentral.